GGUUCUAUGGUGUAAUGGUUAGCACUCUGGACUUUGAAUCCAGUGAUACGAGUUCAAUUCUCGGUAGAACCU
This is a non-coding RNA of Salvelinus fontinalis (brook trout), 72 nucleotides long. The record is from the annotation of a RefSeq genome assembly. NCBI's taxonomy places the organism in Eukaryota, Metazoa, Chordata, Actinopteri, Salmoniformes, Salmonidae.